Molecule: ribosomal RNA, 215 nt
Filed under: uncultured bacterium
Lineage: Bacteria
Description: partial 16S ribosomal RNA
Rfam family: Bacterial small subunit ribosomal RNA
Source: RNAcentral
ACGCUCGACACCUAGAGGCAGCAGUGAGGAAUAUUGGUCAAUGGGCGCUAGCCUGAACCAGCCAAGUAGCGUGAAGGAUGAAGGCUCUAUGGGUCGUAAACUUCUUUUAUAUAAGAAUAAAGUGCAGUAUGUAUACUGUUUUGUAUGUAUUAUAUGAAUAAGGAUCGGCUAACUCCGUGUCAGCAGCCGCGGUAAUCUGAGCGGGCUGGCAAGGC